Molecule: ribosomal RNA, 253 nt
Filed under: uncultured bacterium
Lineage: Bacteria
Description: partial 16S ribosomal RNA
Rfam family: Bacterial small subunit ribosomal RNA
Source: RNAcentral
UACGAAGGGGGCUAGCGUUACUCGGAUUGACUGGGCGUAAAGGGCGCGUAGGCGGUUUGUACAGUCAGACGUGAAAUUCCUGGGCUCAACCUGGGGGCUGCGUUUGAUACGUGCAGACUUGAGUUCGGAAGAGGGUCGUGGAAUUCCCAGUGUAGAGGUGAAAUUCGUAGAUAUUCGCAAGAACACCAGUGGCGAAGGCGGCUCACUGGCCCGAUACUGACGCUGAGGCACGAAAGCGUGGGGAGCAAACAGG